ACGGGUGAGUAACACGUGGGAACGUACCCUUUGGUUCGGAAUAACGCUGGGAAACUAGCGCUAAUACCGGUUACGCCCUUUUGGGGAAAGGCUUGCUGCCGAAGGAUCGGCCCGCGUCUGAUUAGCUAGUUGGUGGGGUAAUGGCCUACCAAGGCGACGAUCAGUAGCUGGUCUGAGAGGAUGAUCAGCCACACUGGGACUGAGACACGGCCCAGACUCCUACGGGAGGCAGCAGUGGGGAAUAUUGGACAAUGGGCGCAAGCCUGAUCCAGCCAUGCCGCGUGAGUGAUGAAGGCCUUAGGGUUGUAAAGCUCUUUUGUCCGGGACGCUAAUGACGGUACCGGAAGAAUAAGCCCCGGCUAACUUCGUGCCAGCAGCCGCGGUAAUACGAAGGGGGCUAGCGUUGCUCGGAAUCACUGGGCGUAAAGGGCGCGUAGGCGGCCAUUCAAGUCGGGGGUGAAAGCCUGUGGCUCAACCACAGAAUUGCCUUCGAUACUGUUUGGCUUGAGUUUGGUAGAGGUUGGUGGAACUGCGAGUGUAGAGGUGAAAUUCGUAGA
Molecule: ribosomal RNA, 557 nt
Filed under: uncultured Methylobacterium sp.
Lineage: Bacteria; Pseudomonadati; Pseudomonadota; Alphaproteobacteria; Hyphomicrobiales; Methylobacteriaceae
Description: bacterial SSU rRNA
Rfam family: Bacterial small subunit ribosomal RNA
Source: RNAcentral